GGACUACCAGGGUUUCUAAUCCUGUUUGCUACCCACGCUUUCGUGCCUCAGCGUCAGUCAUGGUCCAGUAAGCCGUCUACACCGCAGGUGUUCCUCCUGAUAUCUACGCAUUUCACCGCUACACCAGGAAUUCCGCUUACCUCUCCCACACUCAAGCCCUCCAGUUUUCGGCGCACCCUCCCAGUUGAGCCGGGAGAUUUCACACCAAACUUAGAGAACCGCCUACGCACUCUUUACGCCCAGUAACUCCGAACAACGCUUGCUGCCUACGUAUUACCGCGGCUGCUGGCAC
This 292-nucleotide ribosomal RNA is filed under the name uncultured Acidobacteriota bacterium. RNAcentral's name for it is "uncultured Acidobacteria bacterium partial 16S ribosomal RNA". Lineage: Bacteria; Pseudomonadati; Acidobacteriota. The record is from RNAcentral.